RNAcentral lists this ribosomal RNA (584 nucleotides) under Salmonella enterica. RNAcentral's name for it is "partial 23S ribosomal RNA". It matches the Rfam family "Bacterial large subunit ribosomal RNA", at positions 586 to 1170 of the family's 2925-position model. Lineage: Bacteria; Pseudomonadati; Pseudomonadota; Gammaproteobacteria; Enterobacterales; Enterobacteriaceae. The record is from RNAcentral.
UGGUGGGGUGACUGCGUACCUUUUGUAUAAUGGGUCAGCGACUUAUAUUCUGUAGCAAGGUUAACCGCAUAGGGGAGCCGAAGGGAAACCGAGUCUUAAUUGGGCGUUAAGUUGCAGGGUAUAGACCCGAAACCCGGUGAUCUAGCCAUGGGCAGGUUGAAGGUUGGGUAACACUAACUGGAGGACCGAACCGACUAAUGUUGAAAAAUUAGCGGAUGACCUGUGGCUGGGGGUGAAAGGCCAAUCAAACCGGGAGAUAGCUGGUUCUCCCCGAAAGCUAUUUAGGUAGCGCCUCGUGAAUUCAUCUCCGGGGGUAGAGCACUGUUUCGGCUAGGGGGCCAUCCCGGCUUACCAACCCGAUGCAAACUGCGAAUACCGGAGAAUGUUAUCACGGGAGACACACGGCGGGUGCUAACGUCCGUCGUGAAGAGGGAAACAACCCAGACCGCCAGCUAAGGUCCCAAAGUCAUGGUUAAGUGGGAAACGAUGUGGGAAGGCCCAGACAGCCAGGAUGUUGGCUUAGAAGCAGCCAUCAUUUAAAGAAAGCGUAAUAGCUCACUGGUCGAGUCGGCCUGCGCGGAAGA